Molecule: ribosomal RNA, 1524 nt
Filed under: uncultured Prolixibacter sp.
Lineage: Bacteria; Pseudomonadati; Bacteroidota; Bacteroidia; Marinilabiliales; Prolixibacteraceae
Description: partial 16S ribosomal RNA
Source: RNAcentral
ACGGGGACUCUAGAGAUUUACGGCCUUGUUACGACUUAACCCCAGUCACUAGUUUUACCCUAGGCCGCUCCUCUCGGUAACAGACUUCAGGCACCCCCAGCUUCCAUGGUUUGACGGGCGGUGUGUACAAGGCCCGGGAACGUAUUCACCGCGCCAUGGCUGAUGCGCGAUUACUAGCGAAUCCAGCUUCACGGAGUCGAGUUGCAGACUCCGAUCCGAACUGAGACCAGUUUUAGAGAUUAGCAUCCUGUCGCCAGGUAGCUGCCCUUUGUACUGACCAUUGUAACACGUGUGUAGCCCUGGACAUAAGGGCCGUGCUGAUUUGACGUCAUCCCCACCUUCCUCUCACCUUACGGUGGCAGUCUCUCUAGAGUCCUCAGCUUGACCUGUUAGCAACUAAAGAUAAGGGUUGCGCUCGUUAUGGGACUUAACCCGACACCUCACGGCACGAGCUGACGACAACCAUGCAGCACCUUGUACGUCGUCCGAAGAAAAGUCUAUCUCUAGACCGAUCGCCGUACAUUUAAGCCCAGGUAAGGUUCCUCGCGUAUCAUCGAAUUAAACCACAUGUUCCUCCGCUUGUGCGGGCCCCCGUCAAUUCCUUUGAGUUUCACUCUUGCGAGCGUACUCCCCAGGUGGAUUACUUAAAACUUGCGCUUAGCCACUGACUGUGUAUCGCCAACAGCGAGUAAUCAUCGUUUACGGCGUGGACUACCAGGGUAUCUAAUCCUGUUCGCUCCCCACGCUUUCGUACAUCAGCGUCAGUUAUACCUUAGUAAGCUGCCUUCGCAAUCGGUGUUCUGAGUAAUAUCUAAGCAUUUCACCGCUACACUACUCAUUCCGCCUACCUCAAGUAUACUCAAGUAAUACAGUUUCAAUGGCAGUUCUACAGUUGAGCUGCAGGAUUUCACCACUGACUUAUAUUACCGCCUACGUACCCUUUAAACCCAAUAAAUCCGGAUAACGCUUACACCCUCCGUAUUACCGCGGCUGCUGGCACGGAGUUAGCCGGUGUUUAUUCAUAUGCUACCUUCAGCUACUUUCACGAAAGUAGGUUUAUUUGCAUAUAAAAGAAGUUUACAACCCAUAGGGCAGUCAUCCUUCACGCGGGAUGGCUGGUUCAGACUUGCGUCCAUUGACCAAUAUUCCUCACUGCUGCCUCCCGUAGGAGUCUGGUCCGUGUCUCAGUACCAGUGUGGGGGAUCAUCCUCUCAGAACCCCUAGACAUCGUCGCCUUGGUAAGCCGUUACCUUACCAACUAGCUAAUGUCACGCAUGUUCAUCUUGUACCGCCGGAGCUUUAAUUACCAAAUCAUGCGAUCCAGUAAUACUAUGAGGUAUUAAUCCAAAUUUCUCUGGGCUAUCCCUCUGUACAAGGCAGAUUACAUACGCGUUACUCACCCGUGCGCCGGUCGUCGUCUAGCAGCAAGCUACUUCCGUUACCCCUCGACUUGCAUGUGUUAGGCCUCCCGCUAGCGUUCAUCCUGAGCCAGGAUCAAACUCUAAUCGUCGACUGCAGCAUGCA